RNAcentral lists this ribosomal RNA (253 nucleotides) under uncultured bacterium. RNAcentral's name for it is "partial 16S ribosomal RNA". It matches the Rfam family "Bacterial small subunit ribosomal RNA", at positions 524 to 776 of the family's 1533-position model. The record is from RNAcentral.
UACGAAGGUCCCGAGCGUUGUUCGGAAUCACUGGGCGUAAAGGGCGCGUAGGCGGUGCGGUAAGUCACCUGUGAAAUCUCCUGGCUCAACUGGGAGCUUGCAGGCGAAACUGCCGUGCUGGAGUGUGGGAGAGGUGCGUGGAAUUCCCGGUGUAGCGGUGGAAUGCGUAGAUAUCGGGAGGAACACCUGUGGCGAAAGCGGCGCACUGGACCACAACUGACGCUGAGGCGCGAAAGCUAGGGGAGCAAACAGG